Molecule: small RNA, 119 nt
Filed under: uncultured Anaerococcus sp.
Lineage: Bacteria; Bacillati; Bacillota; Tissierellia; Tissierellales; Peptoniphilaceae
Description: Streptococcus sRNA SpR18
Rfam family: Streptococcus sRNA SpR18
Source: RNAcentral
AAGAGAAUGAAAAAUGGCUGCUGGUAGUCAAAUGGUACUGGAAGUAAAAAAGAAUAAACUAAAUAAUAGUUCCAAGUACUUUACAUGAGGACAAAAAAUUAGACCGUAGUUUAAAGUUG